GGAUGUGAGGGCAAUCUGGCUGCGACAUCUGUCACCCCAUUGAUCGCCAGGGUUGAUUCAGCUGAUCUGGCUGGCUAAGUGGGUGUCCCCUUCCUCCCUCACCGCUCCAUGUGAGUCCCUCCCAGAGCUGCUGCGGGGUCCUUCCAGGAGGACUGCCUUACCCUAAUAGAGACGGAGGGGCUUUCCUUAGAGGGUGAAGGAGUAGCUGCGCUCCCCACUAGAACCUGCAAACAAGCUCUCAAAGGAAAAGAACAGCUACUGCCUGCAGAAGGGAGUAAGUGGCCCUCAAAGCCCGUGGCUCUGCAUUU
Unclassified non-coding RNA from Erinaceus europaeus (western European hedgehog), 308 nucleotides. Its record names the gene 7SK. It matches the Rfam family "7SK RNA". Rfam says of the family: 7SK was discovered as an abundant small nuclear RNA in the mid-70s but a possible function has only recently been suggested. Two independent studies have found that 7SK RNA binds the CDK9/cyclin T complex (known as elongation factor P-TEFb). The record is from Ensembl. NCBI's taxonomy places the organism in Eukaryota, Metazoa, Chordata, Mammalia, Eulipotyphla, Erinaceidae.